GGCAACGUAGCUCAGUGGUAGUAGCGAUGCCCUCAUAAAGCAUAGGUCGUUGGUUCGAUCCCAACCGUUGCCA
This 73-nucleotide transfer RNA is filed under the name Candidatus Daviesbacteria bacterium. RNAcentral describes it as "tRNA-Met". It matches the Rfam family "tRNA". Rfam says of the family: Transfer RNA (tRNA) molecules are approximately 80 nucleotides in length. Their secondary structure includes four short double-helical elements and three loops (D, anti-codon, and T loops). Further hydrogen bonds mediate the characteristic L-shaped molecular structure. tRNAs have two regions of fundamental functional importance: the anti-codon, which is responsible for specific mRNA codon recognition, and the 3' end, to which the tRNAs corresponding amino acid is attached (by aminoacyl-tRNA synthetases). tRNAs cope with the degeneracy of the genetic code in two manners: having more than one tRNA (with a specific anti-codon) for a particular amino acid; and 'wobble' base-pairing, i.e. permitting non-standard base-pairing at the 3rd anti-codon position. Lineage: Bacteria; Candidatus Daviesiibacteriota. The record is from RNAcentral.